RNAcentral lists this ribosomal RNA (253 nucleotides) under uncultured bacterium. RNAcentral's name for it is "partial 16S ribosomal RNA". It matches the Rfam family "Bacterial small subunit ribosomal RNA", at positions 524 to 776 of the family's 1533-position model. The record is from RNAcentral.
UACGAAGGGGGCUAGCGUUGCUCGGAAUCACUGGGCGUAAAGGGUGCGUAGGCGGGUCUUUAAGUCAGGGGUGAAAUCCUGGAGCUCAACUCCAGAACUGCCUUUGAUACUGAGGAUCUUGAGUUCGGGAGAGGUGAGUGGAACUCCGAGUGUAGAGGUGAAAUGCGUAGAGAUCGGAAAGAACACCAACGGCGAAAGCACUCUGCUGGGCCGACACUGACACUGAGAGACGAAAGCUAGGGGAGCGAAUGGG